Molecule: ribosomal RNA, 751 nt
Filed under: uncultured Filifactor sp.
Lineage: Bacteria; Bacillati; Bacillota; Clostridia; Peptostreptococcales; Filifactoraceae
Description: bacterial SSU rRNA
Rfam family: Bacterial small subunit ribosomal RNA
Source: RNAcentral
GAUGAACGCUGGCGGCGUGCUUAACACAUGCAAGUCGAACGAACGACUAUUAACAGAACCUUUCGGGGCGAAGAUGAUAGAAGUUAGUGGCGGACGGGUGCGUAACGCGUGGGUAAUCUGCCUUUGUCAAAGGAAUAACUAUUCGAAAGAAUAGCUAAAACCGUAUAACAUAUUAAUAGGGCAUCCUAAUAAUAUCAAAACGAUAGUGGACAAAGAUGAGCCCGCGUCUGAUUAGCUAGUUGGUGAGAUAAAAGCCCACCAAGGCAACGAUCAGUAGCCGACCUGAGAGGGUGAACGGCCACAUUGGAACUGAGACACGGUCCAAACUCCUACGGGAGGCAGCAGUGGGGAAUAUUGCACAAUGGGGGGAACCCUGAUGCAGCAACGCCGCGUGAGUGAAGAAGGCAUUCGUGUCGUAAAACUCUGUAGUAGGGGAAGAAAGAAAUGACAGUACCCUAAAAGAAAGCCCCGGCUAACUACGUGCCAGCAGCCGCGGUAAUACGUAGGGGGCAAGCGUUAUCCGGAAUAACUGGGCGUAAAGGGUGCGCAGGUGGUUUAACAAGUUAGUGGUGAAAGGCAUAGGCUCAACCAAUGUAAGCCAUUAAAACUGUUUAACUUGAGUGCAGGAGAGGAAAGUGGAAUUCCUAGUGUAGCGGUGAAAUGCGUAGAUAUUAGGAGGAAUACCAGUGGCGAAGGCGACUUUCUGGACUGCAACUGACACUGAGGCACGAAAGCGUGGGGAGCAAACAGG